UAUUUAUUGUGAUUACUUCUUAUGAUGGCUUGGUGUCUAAAUGUCUUAUAUAGAGAUAUUGCAUGAUGGAUUUGUGCAUAGCUGAUGAUGGUUUGCCCCUUUUUUUCAUUUCUCUUGGUUAAAUCUGGAUUCUUUUUGUGCCCUUCCCAACCCCUAACCCUGCCAAUUUAUGGGCUUUGGAUAGUCCAAUUAGGCUGCUUCAAGGUACUUUGUAUGGUAUGGACAAUUCAUGCUACUGUUCACUCCUGUCAAAUAUGGAUAGCGUACGGCGAUCAGACAAGAAUUGAUGCAGCUUGUUGGACAGCAUUCUUUUCAGAUCUGAAGCGUAACCACAGAUCCUGUUGAUAUUCUUCUCUACAUGAGAAAGGUAUGCUUAUUAGUUAUAUGGCUUAUGUCUGUUUUCGGAAGAAACAUGAAGUAUUAUAAUGGUGAGUGAAAUUCUUUUCUACAUUUUGGUAAGUUGGCUAGAGUGGAGCUCCUAAUCACUUUGCCAUGAGCCCAGUUCCCUAUUUCAAUGUCUGGGAACAUGAGCUGUGGUCCAAUUAGUAAAAGGUCUAUUUGGCAUCAAUGUAUCAGUUGUCGAUAGAAACGCUAUCUUAUAUUUGUUGACUGAAAGUAAUUAAAAGUUGUAUAUACUCCAUUUUCGAAGUGUUAUUAUAUACAUGGAUAAAUCGGUUAA
This 679-nucleotide unclassified non-coding RNA is filed under the name Hevea brasiliensis (rubber tree). The record is from RNAcentral. Lineage: Eukaryota; Viridiplantae; Streptophyta; Magnoliopsida; Malpighiales; Euphorbiaceae.